UAGAGUUUGAUCAUGGCUCAGGAUGAACGCUAGCGACAGGCUUAACACAUGCAAGUCGAGGGGCAGCGGGGAGGUAGCAAUACUUCCGCCGGCGACCGGCGCACGGGUGAGUAGCACGUAUGGAACCUGCCCGUAGCAGGGGGAUAAGCGGAAGAAAUUCCGUCUAAUACCGCGUAAUAACUCCGAGAGGCAUCUCAUGGGGUUUAAAGGGUGACACCGGCUACGGAUGGCCAUGCGGCGCAUUAGCUAGUUGGCGGGGUAACGGCCCACCAAGGCGACGAUGCGUAGGGGUUCUGAGAGGAAGGUCCCCCACACUGGUACUGAGACACGGACCAGACUCCUACGGGAGGCAGCAGUGAGGAAUAUUGGUCAAUGGGCGCGAGCCUGAACCAGCCAAGUCGCGUGAGGGAAGACGGUCCUAUGGAUUGUAAACCUCUUUUGUCGGGGAGCAAAAGACGCCACGUGUGGCGUUCCGAGAGUACCCGAAGAAAAAGCAUCGGCUAACUCCGUGCCAGCAGCCGCGGUAAUACGGAGGAUGCGAGCGUUAUCCGGAUUUAUUGGGUUUAAAGGGUGCGCAGGCGGAAGAUCAAGUCAGCGGUAAAAUUGAGAGGCUCAACCUCUUCGAGCCGUUGAAACUGGUUUUCUUGAGUGAGCGAGAAGUAUGCGGAAUGCGUGGUGUAGCGGUGAAAUGCAUAGAUAUCACGCAGAACUCCGAUUGCGAAGGCAGCAUACCGGCGCUCAACUGACGCUCAUGCACGAAAGUGUGGGUAUCGAACAGGAUUAGAUACCCUGGUAGUCCACACAGUAAACGAUGAAUACUAAUUGUUCGGGGAGAAUGAUC
Molecule: ribosomal RNA, 841 nt
Filed under: uncultured bacterium
Lineage: Bacteria
Description: bacterial SSU rRNA
Rfam family: Bacterial small subunit ribosomal RNA
Source: RNAcentral